Molecule: long non-coding RNA, 235 nt
Filed under: Capsicum annuum
Lineage: Eukaryota; Viridiplantae; Streptophyta; Magnoliopsida; Solanales; Solanaceae
Description: long non-coding RNA (CANN_LNC008202)
Source: RNAcentral
UUGCCUACUGAGUACCACAUUUUUGGUACUCAUACUACACUUCUGUAGCCUGCAAAUCUUAGUAUGGGUUCUCAUUAUUAUUGUGUGUGUUAUGUGGAGCAACUAUGGUUCAGAGACAUAACAUGAGCUCCUUGCACUGGAAGUAUUUCUAUUCUCCCUCUUAUGUACUAGACUAGUCUCUAUGAUGUAUUCAGAGAUGGGUUGUAUCAGUAUAUAUUAACUUAGUACUUUAUUA